This 756-nucleotide ribosomal RNA is filed under the name uncultured bacterium. RNAcentral describes it as "bacterial SSU rRNA". It matches the Rfam family "Bacterial small subunit ribosomal RNA", at positions 8 to 796 of the family's 1533-position model. The record is from RNAcentral.
AGAGUUUGAUCAUGGCUCAGAAUCAACGCUGGCGGCGUGCCUAACACAUGCAAGUCGAACGAGAAAGUGGAGCAAUCCAUGAGUAAAGUGGCGCACGGGUGAGUAACACGUGACUAACCUACCCUUGAGUGGGGGAUAACCUAGGGAAACCUGGGCUAAUACCGCAUAACACCUACGGGUCAAAGGAGCAAUUCGCUUAAGGAGGGGGUCGCGGCAGAUUAGUUAGUUGGCGGGGUAAUGGCCCACCAAGACAGUGAUCUGUAUCCGGCCUGAGAGGGCGCACGGACACACUGGAACUGAAACACGGUCCAGACUCCUACGGGAGGCAGUAGUGGGGAAUUUUGCGCAAUGGGGGAAACCCUGACGCAGCAACGCCGCGUGGAGGAUGAAGUCCCUUGGGACGUAAACUCCUUUCGACCGGGACGAUGAUGACGGUACCGGAAGAAGAAGCCCCGGCUAACUUCGUGCCAGCAGCCGCGGUAAUACGAGGGGGGCGAGUGUUGUUCGGAAUUAUUGGGCGUAAAGGGUGCGUAGGCGGUUCGGUAAGUUUUGUGUGAAAUCUUCGGGCUUAACUCGAAGCCUGCACAAGAUACUGCCGGGCUAGAGUGUGGGAGAGGUGAGUGGAAUUUCCGGUGUAGCGGUGAAAUGCGUAGAUAUCGGAAGGAACACCUGUGGCGAAAGCGGCUCACUGGACCACAACUGACGCUGAGGCACGAAAGCUAGGGGAGCAAACAGGAUUAGAUACCCCCGUAGUCC